CCCUUUCGAAAGCGAAGCCUUCCUCCCAUUGAGGUGUUCUCUCCCUGCGACUUACCUUUUUCAAAGAUUUAGCCCUCUUAACUGAGCUUCCGUUAGAACUCCUUCGAGAAUGAGCCCUAAAAAAAGCAUGGUCUUGACUUCUUUUCCUUCUGAGUGUCCUCCUUAGGCACUCUAGGUCAUCCUGAGCAUAGUGCCAGUCUCUUUCGGCCCU
RNAcentral lists this long non-coding RNA (211 nucleotides) under Elaeis guineensis (African oil palm). Its description in RNAcentral is "long non-coding RNA (EGUI_LNC036441)". Lineage: Eukaryota; Viridiplantae; Streptophyta; Magnoliopsida; Arecales; Arecaceae. The record is from RNAcentral.